UGUUUGAUAUAAUGUCUUUUCUGUUUGCAGAUAUUAAUCAGAUUAACGUUAGCUCCCUCAUGUUCAGUCACUGCAUUAUAUCUGUCACCUCCGCUGAGGUUUUGCUUUUCAUUGCUUUCUAUAUUAAAUACUAAACUAGGGUGAUUAAACACUGUCACGUGACGUGCAAUAUAUUGCACAAUAUAUAUAACAUAUUCAUAUCAGGUUCAAAGUAGUACAAGUGUAGUUUCAAAAUGGUAUUUGUAGUAGAAGCACGGUAAAAAACAACACUUACCAUGCUUUUUACCACAGUAUUGGUAGUUUUAAUGUGAUUUUUGUUGUAAAUACAGAGUAACCACAACACUUAUCAUGCUUUUAAUGCCUAAUAAUGUUAAAUCCAAAAACUGUAAGGUCAAUAAGAACUUCUUUCCUAUAUAUAUUUAUAUAUAAACCUAUAUAUUAUAAAUAAUGAUAUUUUCUUUUCUCUUGUUUUAGCUGAAAAGACAAAAAGGGCCUUUCGGAAAUGGAUGAAGGAGACAGAAAGCUGCAAAGGCAAAUAAUUGCAAUGAAGGAAAUCCUACGGUUAUGUAUGAACUCACAACAUCAUCAUCAAGUGCUGUGCUGGGCACAUUGGGUAACAAGUGUCCUCCAACGUAUCCAAUCUGUGACCACAUUCUCCACAUCUUCCCAUGGGACACCGACAUUCUUCAGGCCUUCGUUUCCAUGUCUUCCCCUGCAUUCUCCUGGUGGUGUCCACUUCAUAUCCGUCUUUGGGUGUUGUUGUUUGGUCAUGCUUAGGAUGUGUCCAGGGAGGUGCACCCUUCACUCUGUCACAGUUUUUAAAAGUCUUCACGUGGACUCCUCCUUAUGAUCUCCUUGAAACGUGCAGAACCAAUAUUGAAAAUAGUCAUUUAUCUUUUUCCAUAUUCUUGCCUUUAUCAAAGAAGCACCAGUGCUCAUCUGGAGUUUUGGUAAAAGACAUAUUCAUUGCCAUCCACUAGUUCUAGUAAUGCUGUGACUAUAGUCAAAUAUGUAUUUCUGCAUGUGUGUAUAGCAGGUGUUUGUCCGAACAAUUGAAGUUAGUGAGAGUGUUCAGGAAAACCCUCUGAGAACAAUCAAUAUUAUUUAAUUCUGUUUGGUGCUGAUGUAGAGUAUUACAGAAAUGACACAUUGACAUUCUGGACAUUAUUCUGUGAGUUUGUUACCUCUACAUUUAGAUGGACUUGAAAAUGUCUUGCAUUUUGUUUCAUUAAACCUUUUAUUACAGUGUCACUAUAGUAAAUGUCCACCUUAACUACAUCUAUGGUAUCAUUAUAUCAGUACCUGGAUAAUGUAAAUGUAACAUACCCAUGAAUGUAUUUUAUAGAAGCAUUUUAUUGCUGAAAAUAUUUAACAUUUAUAAAAUGCAUUAACUAUU
This is a long non-coding RNA of Megalobrama amblycephala (Wuchang bream), 1396 nucleotides long. RefSeq lists it as uncharacterized. The record is from RefSeq and is a predicted model, not a curated record. The transcript is spliced from 2 exons. NCBI's taxonomy places the organism in Eukaryota, Metazoa, Chordata, Actinopteri, Cypriniformes, Xenocyprididae.